GUGCCAGCAGCCGCGGUAAUACGUAGGGUGCAAGCGUUGUCCGGAAUUAUUGGGCGUAAAGAGCUCGUAGGCGGUUUGUCGCGUCUGCUGUGAAAACCCGAGGCUCAACCUCGGGCCUGCAGUGGGUACGGGCAGACUAGAGUGCGGUAGGGGAGAUUGGAAUUCCUGGUGUAGCGGUGGAAUGCGCAGAUAUCAGGAGGAACACCAAUGGCGAAGGCAGAUCUCUGGGCCGUAACUGACGCUGAGGAGCGAAAGCAUGGGGAGCGAACAGGAUUAGAUACCCUUGUAGUCC
This 292-nucleotide ribosomal RNA is filed under the name uncultured bacterium. Its description in RNAcentral is "partial 16S ribosomal RNA". It matches the Rfam family "Bacterial small subunit ribosomal RNA", at positions 505 to 796 of the family's 1533-position model. The record is from RNAcentral.